RNAcentral lists this long non-coding RNA (456 nucleotides) under Coturnix japonica (Japanese quail). RNAcentral describes it as "lncRNA (ENSCJPG00005004593.1)". The record is from RNAcentral. Lineage: Eukaryota; Metazoa; Chordata; Aves; Galliformes; Phasianidae.
GGAGGGGCAGAGCCAGGAGUACAAGAUGCUGCUGGGCAUCAAGACCCGCCUGGAGCAGGAGAUUGCUCAGUACCGGGCACUGCUCCACGAGGGACAGCAAGACCUUGCUUCCUCCCAAGGAGCUUUCCAAGGAGGUGGAAAAUCCUCCCAGUCAUAUUCUUCGAGUUCCUUCUCUCAGUCCCAGUCUGGUGAAGUGUCAGGGCAGUCAAGAGUGUGCUAGAGCAGCAGCAUUGAUGUCAGCAUCCUCCAAAACGCACUGAACUGACCCAUGGACAACAAGAGACAGAACCCGACGCUUCCGCAGUGCAGCUGAUACGAUGCAGCAUCCAUCAUCACCUUCCUUCCCUUCUGCAAUACUGGCCUUACUCCCCUUGUCUUUGUCAACUGAACCUUUGUUUAAAAGCUUGAAUUCUGCUGAAAAUGCCGUCAUUAAUAAAACUUCACUUCUUUGAUGCA